This 1203-nucleotide ribosomal RNA is filed under the name Triticum aestivum (bread wheat). RNAcentral describes it as "partial small subunit ribosomal RNA". The record is from RNAcentral. Lineage: Eukaryota; Viridiplantae; Streptophyta; Magnoliopsida; Poales; Poaceae.
AUGGCGACCUUCGCCGGCGCGAAGCCCCACGUGAACGUCGGCACCAUCGGGCACGUCGGCCACGGCAAGACCACGCUCACCGCCGCGAUCACCAAGGUGCUGGCCGAGGCGGGGAGCUUUCAGGUUCAGCCGGUGGCGUACGCCCAGAUCGACAAGCCUCCCGAGGAGGAAGCUAGAGGAAUCGCCGUCUCCAUGGCUCGUGUCGAGUACGAGACCGCUAAGAGGCACUACACCCACGUGGACUGUCCGGGGCAUGCCGACUACGUCAAGAUCAUGAUCACGGGAGCUGCUCAAAUGGAUUGCGGUAUUCUCGUCGUGUCAACUAUGGAUGGCCUGAUGCCACAAACAAGGGAGCAUAUUAUUCUAGCUCGACAGGUUGGUGUGCCAUCACUUGUUUGUUUCUUGAACAAUGUUGAUUUGGUUGGAGAUGAAGAUGAAGAUUUAAUAGAAUUAGUGGAGAUGGAGAUUCGAGAGCUCCUCAGUUUCUACAAGUUCCCCGGCGAUGAGAUUCCUAUCAUCCGUGGAUCUGCUUUGGUAGCCUUGGAAGGAAGAGAUGAGGAGACCGGAAAGAAUGCUAUUUUAAAACUGAUGGAUGCCGUCGAUUCAUACAUCCCAGAUCCUGUGAGGGUGCUUGAUAAGUCUUUCUUGAUGCCAGUUGAAGGAAUUUUCUCAAUUCAGGGUUGUGCUACUGUAGUGACCGGACGUAUUGAACAAGGGAUGAUUGAAACUGGUGAGGAUGUUGAGGUCAUAGGUUUGACGGAGGGCGAUCCCGUGAAGACUACAGUUACUGGUGUUGAGAUGUUCAAAAAGAUGAUAGAUCAUGGUGAGGCUGGUGAAAAUGUUGGACUUCUUCUCCGCGGUCUUAAGCGUGGUGAUGUCCAUCGUGGCCAGGUGGUUUGCAAACCCGGGACUGUAAAGUCAUACAAAAAGUUUGAGGCCCAAAUUUACGUCCUUACCAAGGAUGAAGGUGGUCGCCACACUGCCUUCUUCUCCAAUUACAGACCACAAUUCUACUUCAGGACAGCUGAUAUCGGUGGGAAAAUCGAGUUGCCUCCGGACGUGAAAAUGGUUAUGCCUGGUGACAAUAUAACUGCAAUCUUCGAGUUGAUGUUGCCUGUUCCACUCGAACCAGGCCUAAGAUUUGCACUAAGGGAAGGAGGAAGGACCGUCGGCGUCGGAGUCGUCACUGAAGUCAUGAGCUAA